RNAcentral lists this ribosomal RNA (497 nucleotides) under uncultured bacterium. RNAcentral's name for it is "partial 16S ribosomal RNA". It matches the Rfam family "Bacterial small subunit ribosomal RNA", at positions 28 to 507 of the family's 1533-position model. The record is from RNAcentral.
GACGAACGCUGGCGGCGUGCCUAAUACAUGCAAGUUGAGCGCUGAAGGUUGGUACUUGUACCGACUGGAUGAGCAGCGAACGGGUGAGUAACGCGUGGGGAAUCUGCCUUUGAGCGGGGGACAACAUUUGGAAACGAAUGCUAAUACCGCAUAAAAACUUUAAACACAAGUUUUAAGAUUGAAAGAUGCAAUUGCAUUACUCAAAGAUGAUCUCGCGUUUGAUUAGCUAGUUGGUGAGGUAAAGGCUCACCAAGGCGAUGGUACCUAGCCGACCUGAGAGGGGGGUCGGCCAACAUGGGACUGGGACACGGGCCAAAACCCUGAGGGAGGCAACAAUAGGGAAUCUUCGGCAAUGGGCGGAAGUCUGGACGGAGAACGCCGCCGGAGGGGAGGAGGUUUUCGGAUCGGAAAAAUCUGUUGGUAGAGAAGAACGUUGGUGAGAGUGGAAAGCUCAUCAAGUGACGGUAACUACCCAGAAAGCGACGGCUAACUACGUG